GUAUCAAGAUAAAAAUAUUUUAAUGAGUUAAACAUGUAACAUUGUGCUUCUAGGCCUUAAAUGACCAUCAAUUAUAAGGCAAGACAACAUACACACACACACAGAAACAAACAGGUGAACAAAAUAAAAACAAUAUGCCACAGAAAAAAAAAAACAGUAAAAAUAACAAACUUAUUACAAUAUUAAAUUAACCUACUUAACAAAAUAAGAUAAUCAGUUUAGAAGUCUCUUUAGAAAAUACAAAUAGAGACUGAUUUUUAAUUAGGAAUAAGCAAGGAAUCACCAAAUUUAGUAAAAUAAAAAUGACAGUCUUUACACACACACAAAAUUAAUUUUAAUCAAGAGAGAAGAGACUUUUUUAUUUUAAACUUUUUUUUUUUUUAGCACAAUAAUAGCUCAAUGUUUUCUUGAACAUCUUGAACAGUUUACACCUCCAAAUAUAUACACUAAUAAUUUAUAAACAUUAAAACUAUCUUUCUUGACAAACAAGAUGAACAGUAGGACUGCUAAACAAUCUGAUCUAUACAUGUAUUCUGAUACAGUGCAUACAUGUGAUAAGCAAUGAAUGGAACACAGAAUACAUAAAAAUAUUUUGUUUAUAAGACCAGUUCAUUUAGAUUUAUCAAACAAAACAAUUCAUGGACACUUAAAGGUGUCUUAAGAUAGACUCUGCUUCAUGGGAGACUAGAGCAAAAGAAAGAGGAUCAUGCUGCUACACUGCAAGAGACUCAAAGACACUAGAAAAA
Non-coding RNA from Biomphalaria pfeifferi, 746 nucleotides. Lineage: Eukaryota; Metazoa; Mollusca; Gastropoda; Planorbidae. The record is from the annotation of a GenBank genome assembly.